AAGUGGAGGAGUGGUCUCCUC
Molecule: microRNA, 21 nt
Filed under: Ixodes scapularis (black-legged tick)
Lineage: Eukaryota; Metazoa; Arthropoda; Arachnida; Ixodida; Ixodidae
Description: Isc-Mir-1175_5p* (star (passenger))
Source: RNAcentral